UCAAUAAGCGAGGAAAAGAAACUAACAAGGAUUCCCUCAGUAACGGCGAGUGAAGCGGGAUCAGCUCAAAUUUAAAAUCUGGCUUCUUCGGAGCCCGAGUUGUAGUAUAAAGAAACGUUUUCCAUUGUCAACCAAGGCAAAAGUCCUCUGGAAAGGGGCAUCAUAGAGGGUGAGAAUCCCGUCUUUGGCUUUGAGUUUUUGAUAUGUUGUGAUACGUUCUCUAAGAGUCAGGUUGUUUGGGAAUGCAGCCUAAAAUGGGUGGUAAAUUUCAUCUAAAGCUAAAUAUUGGCGAGAGACCGAUAGCGAACAAGUACCGUGAGGGAAAGAUGAAAAGCACUUUGAAAAGAGAGUUAAACAGUACGUGAAAUUGUUGAAAGGGAAACGUUUGAAGCCAGUCAGCUUGUUUGUAAUCAGCCUAUUCUUUGGAGUGGGUGCACUUGCAAACUUUUGCAGGUCAACGUCAAUUUGAGGUGCUGGAAAAAGGCUUGAGGAAUGUGGCUACUCUCGGGUAGUGUUAUAGCUUCUUGCAAAAUACAGGGUCUUGGAUUGAGGUUCGCAGCCAAAAUGUGGGCUUUGGUAUUUCUUGUUCGAAUCGGUCGCUGGACAAUUUAUUGAUCAGUGAUUUGCCAAGGGCAACAACAUCAAUAGCUUCUAAUUGUGCUUAGGUCGUUGACUUAAUGGCUUUAAAUGACCCGUCUUGAAACACGGACCAAGGAGUCUAACAUAUAUGCGAGUGUUUGAGUGGCAAACUCACACGCGUAAUGAAAGUGAAUGUAGGUGCGAAGCCGUAAAAGGUGGCAGCAUCGGCCGACUCUAACGUUUUUAACCGCCGAGUUUGAGCUAAAGCAUAUCUGUUGGGACCCGAAA
Molecule: ribosomal RNA, 867 nt
Filed under: uncultured fungus
Lineage: Eukaryota; Fungi
Description: eukaryotic LSU rRNA
Rfam family: Eukaryotic large subunit ribosomal RNA
Source: RNAcentral